RNAcentral lists this ribosomal RNA (521 nucleotides) under uncultured bacterium. RNAcentral's name for it is "bacterial SSU rRNA". It matches the Rfam family "Archaeal small subunit ribosomal RNA", at positions 345 to 866 of the family's 1478-position model. The record is from RNAcentral.
AACCUCCGCAAUGUGAGAAAUCGCGACGGGGGGAUCCCAAGUGCCAUUCUUAACGGGAUGGCUUUUCUUAAGUGUAAAAAGCUUUUGGAAUAAGAGCUGGGCAAGACCGGUGCCAGCCGCCGCGGUAACACCGGCAGCUCUAGUGGUAGCUGUUUUUAUUGGGCCUAAAGCGUUCGUAGCCGGUUUGAUAAGUCACUGGUGAAAUCCUGUAGCUUAACUGUGGGAAUUGCUGGUGAUACUGUUGAACUUGAGGUCGGGAGAGGUUAGCGGUACUCCCAGGGUAGAGGUGAAAUUCUGUAAUCCUGGGAGGACCACCUGUGGCGAAGGCGGCUAACUGGAACGAACCUGACGGUGAGGGACGAAAGCUAGGGGCGCGAACCGGAUUAGAUACCCGGGUAGUCCUAGCCGUAAACGAUGCGGACUUGGUGUUGGGGUGGCUUUGAGCCGCUCCGGUGCCGAAGGGAAGCUGUUAAGUCCGCCGCCUGGGAAGUACGGUCGCAAGACUGAAACUUAAAGGAAUU